This 465-nucleotide ribosomal RNA is filed under the name Vreelandella stevensii. RNAcentral's name for it is "partial 16S ribosomal RNA". It matches the Rfam family "Bacterial small subunit ribosomal RNA", at positions 338 to 795 of the family's 1533-position model. Lineage: Bacteria; Pseudomonadati; Pseudomonadota; Gammaproteobacteria; Oceanospirillales; Halomonadaceae. The record is from RNAcentral.
CCUACGGGAGGCUGCAGUGGGGAAUAUUGGACAAUGGGGGGAACCCUGAUCCAGCCAUGCCGCGUGUGUGAAGAAGGCCCUCGGGUUGUAAAGCACUUUCAGUGAGGAAGAACGCCUGGUGGUUAAUACCCAUCAGGAAAGACAUCACUCACAGAAGAAUCACCGGCUAACUACGUGCCAGCAGCCGCGGUAAUACGGAGGGUGCGAGCGUUAAUCGGAAUUACUGGGCGUAAAGCGCGCGUAGGUGGCUUGAUAAGCCGGUUGUGAAAGCCCCGGGCUCAACCUGGGAACGGCAUCCGGAACUGUCAAGCUAGAGUGCAGGAGAGGAAGGUAGAAUUCCCGGUGUAGCGGUGAAAUGCGUAGAGAUCGGGAGGAAUACCAGUGGCGAAGGCGGCCUUCUGGACUGACACUGACACUGAGGUGCGAAAGCGUGGGUAGCAAACAGGAUUAGAUACCCGAGUAGUC